AAGCCCAUCGGGGCAACGGAUACCUGGGGUUUUUU
This 35-nucleotide non-coding RNA is filed under the name Dipodomys ordii (Ord's kangaroo rat). RNAcentral describes it as "XIST RNA A repeat". It matches the Rfam family "XIST RNA A repeat". The record is from Rfam by way of RNAcentral. Lineage: Eukaryota; Metazoa; Chordata; Mammalia; Rodentia; Heteromyidae.